This 495-nucleotide ribosomal RNA is filed under the name uncultured bacterium. RNAcentral's name for it is "partial 16S ribosomal RNA". It matches the Rfam family "Bacterial small subunit ribosomal RNA", at positions 28 to 507 of the family's 1533-position model. The record is from RNAcentral.
GACGAACGCUGGCGGCGUGCCUAAUACAUGCAAGUCGAACGCUGAAGGCGGAGCUUGCUUCUCUGGAUGAGUUGCGAACGGGUGAGUAACACGUAGGUAACCUGCCUGGUAGCGUGGGAUAACUAUUGGAAACGAUAGCUAAUACCGCAUAAUAGUAGAUGUUGCAUGACAUUUGCUUGAAAGGUGCAAUUGCAUCACUACCAGAUGGACCUGCGCUGCAUUAGCUAGUUGGUGAGGUAACGGCUCACCAAGGCGACGAUACAGAGCCGACCGGCGACGGGGGUCGGCCAGACUGGGACUGUGACACGGCCCAGACGCCUACGGGAGGCGGCAAGAGGGCAUCUGCGGGAAGCGGCGGAAGACUUAGCGAACAACGCCGAGGGCGUAAAGAAGAUUGUCGGGUGGUGGAGGUCGGUUGUCAGGGUGGAACGAGUGUGAGAGUGGAAAGUACAGUCUGUGACGGUAACUGAUAAAGAAGCGACGGCUAACUACGUG